GCUAAACGCGAAGAACCUUACCAAGGCUUGACAUGGAUUUCUAAGCACGUGAAAGCGUGUGACCCUUCGGAGAACUUCCACAGGUGCUGCAUGGCCGUCGUCAGCUCGUGUCGUGAGAUGUUGGGUUAAGUCCCGCAACGAGCGCAACCCUUGUGAUUAGUUGCCAGCGGGUAAUGCCGGGAACUCUAAUCAGACUGCCCAGAUCAACUGGGAGGAAGGUGGGGACGACGUCAGGUCAGUAUGGCCCUUACGCCUUGGGCUGCACACGUACUACAAUGGUCGGUACAGAGGGUUGCCAAACCGCAAGGUGGAGCCAAUCCCAGAAAGCCGAUCCCAGUCCGGAUCGGAGUCUGCAACUCGACUCCGUGAAGUCGGAAUCGCUAGUAAUCGCGGAUCAGCUAUGCCGCGGUGAAUACGUUCCCGGGUCUUGUACACACCG
RNAcentral lists this ribosomal RNA (439 nucleotides) under uncultured bacterium. RNAcentral's name for it is "bacterial SSU rRNA". It matches the Rfam family "Bacterial small subunit ribosomal RNA", at positions 954 to 1392 of the family's 1533-position model. The record is from RNAcentral.